RNAcentral lists this ribosomal RNA (1032 nucleotides) under Triticum aestivum (bread wheat). RNAcentral's name for it is "partial small subunit ribosomal RNA". Lineage: Eukaryota; Viridiplantae; Streptophyta; Magnoliopsida; Poales; Poaceae. The record is from RNAcentral.
AUGCACGCCGGUGGCCGCGCCGCCGCGCCUGGCGGAGAUGCCACCACCAACCCUGCCUCCCCGUACUUCAUCGACGCCACCCACCCGUACGCGGCCGCUGCCGCUUCCGCGCUCACCUCCCACCGCUCCAAGUCCAAGUGGUCCCAGCUCGCUUCCCUCCAGCUCCCCGAUCCCCUCCCCGCGUCCGCCGCUUCCGCCAUCCUCCUCCUCCGCCGCCAUCGGCCCCACGUAGCCCUCAGCUUCCACCAAUUCGCCCUCCGCCGCCUCCUCCCCGCCCGCUCCCCUCCCCCGCUCAUCCUCUCCGCCUCCGCCGCGCACGUCGCGGCCGCCUCCCGCCUCCGGCGCGUGGCCAUAUAUGUCCUCUCCUCCGCCACCUGCCACUACUCCCCCUCCCAGAUCUUCAAUGCCAUCGCCGCCACCUUCCACCGCUUUGCGUCAGCCCCCUUCGUCUUCGACCUCCUCCUCCUCGCUUGCCACCGCUCCCGGCGCGAACCCCUCGCGGCGGCCUCCAUCACCCGCCACUACCUUGCCUCCGGCACCUGCCCCCUUCCCUCUACCGCGGCGUUGCUCUUCCGCUCCCUUCCUUGCGCCGAGUCCGCCCUCGAGAUGUACCGCCAAAUCUACACGCGACCGGGUCCAAGAACCAACCGCGUGCUCCAGCCGACGGCACAGACCUUUAACUCCCUCCUCCUCGCUUUCUACCGCCAUGGCAAGUGCGAAGAUUUCAACAUUGUGCUCGACGAAAUGGACAGGUACUCUUGCAAGCACAAUGUGGGCACUUACAACAUUCGGAUGGCUGCGUGCUGUGAUGACAGGGAGAUGGUGAAGGUAUGACGAUUGUGGAAUGAGAUGGUUCAGGGAGGGAUCCAACAAGAUGUCACCUCAUACGACAUGAUGAUUGGUGGGUAUUGUGCUGCCGGGGAGGUGGGGAUGGCAGAGGAGAUGUUUAAGGACAUGGAGAUUUGUGGGAUUGAGCCAAGUGUUACAACAUUCGAGUGGUUGGUCAGAGGGCAUUGUAGGACAGGGGAUGUU